This 68-nucleotide transfer RNA is filed under the name Marmota monax (woodchuck). RNAcentral's name for it is "tRNA.Val". Lineage: Eukaryota; Metazoa; Chordata; Mammalia; Rodentia; Sciuridae. The record is from RNAcentral.
GAAUAUAGCUCAGUUGGUAGAGUGCUUGCCUCACAUGUAAAAGGGCCUGCGUUCAAUCUCCGGCAACA